Molecule: long non-coding RNA, 720 nt
Organism: Egretta garzetta (little egret)
Lineage: Eukaryota; Metazoa; Chordata; Aves; Pelecaniformes; Ardeidae
Exons: 4
Source: RefSeq, a predicted model, not a curated record
CAGGCAGAGAAGUUCACCUGCGUGUACUACAGCUUCUCUGUUGGGCAGCCUCUGAGCCCAAGGCAUGGGGUUGUGAUUGGGGUGAUUGUGCUGGUGGUGCUCCUUCUUCUGUCCUCGGGGAUCCUGUGCUUCAUGCUUUCCAGGAAAAAGAAGUCUUUGCCCAUCAAAGCUAAAGAGGAUAAUUAAAAAGGUAAAGGUGGCCAGGCUGGACAUCAGUCACUCCAGCCCCUGCCCAGGACCACAGGAGACAUUCAGAGCAGUGAGGGAGUGGAGAAGAUGGGGAGGAUGACCCCAGCUCCGUGCUGAUGGCUGCCAGACCCCCUGGCUCUCCUCUGACCAGAGCUGGGGGACCCAUCCAAUUCAGCAGAGCAAGAGGAAAAUAGGAGGCCAAGGAGGGUUGUGAGCUUUUUCUUCCCUCACUCCCUUCACCUCCCAGCUUUUGCUCCAUGCUGAUUUAAGGCCUUUGAAUGUGACUUUCUGUAGUCCCCUUUUUUUAGGCUUUGCUUUCAUUUUUGCUUUGCUGGGCGCAGGAACUGUACACCAGACUUCCUAGUCCCUGACACAGGGGCUCAGGCUGAGAGAUGGUCCCUGCUCCUGCCGUGUCCUGGGUUCCCAAUCCCUCUCCCUGCUCUGUCUGCUGAUAUUCAGCCAAACCCAGGGCUCUACUGGAGCUUGGCAUGACUUUGCCUGAUCUGUCUGGACAACCAAUAAAGGCUUUUG